Molecule: long non-coding RNA, 3226 nt
Organism: Cavia porcellus (domestic guinea pig)
Lineage: Eukaryota; Metazoa; Chordata; Mammalia; Rodentia; Caviidae
Exons: 3
Source: RefSeq, a predicted model, not a curated record
AGGUAAGCGCCGAGGGCAUGGGGAUCAGUGUGCAAUCACCAUAGGAACAGCAGCCCAGUUCCAAUUGGUGAUUAACUGAAGUGCCCACCCCCGCAUCCUCUCUAAGAGGCUGGGUUGGCUGCACCCGCUCAUCACCCGCAGACCUACAGGAGGGAAGGGCAGCGAGCAGCUCUCCAUGGGUCACCAGCCAUCCCCCGGAGCCAGCGCGGCCUGUCCAGCCCUUGCCCUCCUCGUCCCUGGGGCUCUGCCAGAGUCAGCGGUGACUGAAUAUGAGAGGACCAGCAGAUGGAGGCUGAACAGGGACCACUUGUUAUCUCAGUGCUGUCCUCAGCUCUGGCCAGAGCAAGCUGACCAGGGGACAGAAAGAUGGCCCCAGAAGCAGGGCUUCCUGCAUCAGGAAACUCUGUUUCUCUACUUCCUUUUGGUCUCAGCAGAUCCUCACAGCAGGGAGUAGACAGAGAAAGGCUGGCAUCAAUCCUCCUGCAGCCCCUGGGCUCCAUCAUAACAGCAACUGCUCCUCACGGCGCACAUGGGACUCUGCUCUGAUCACAGUGCCAUGGAACAUUUCAAACACAGACUGUGCUGAAAUCUGUGCCAUUCCAGUACAGGCACACGUUUCUCCACACUCUCAAUUAUAUCAUAAAUUGACUGCAUCCGGCAACUACUCCAUGCCCUCCACUUCUAUCAUUUAUUCUGCAUUAGAAUGAGCAGUUUUGAUCCAUGAUGGCUGAAAAAAUUUUUCUUGGAUGUGUCAAAAUGAAAUGAAGAAAGAUUAUUAACCUGCAUGAUAAAAUUCAAGCUUUAUAACUUGAAGUGCCUUCAAGGAAAUGAUCUAAGAGUGACGGAUAGAGCAAUCAGGAAGCAAUUAGGAAUUGGUAAAAGUCUUUUAAUAAUGAGAAGAACAUCAUAAACAUCCUUCAGCUCAGGAAUAUUGAAAAACAAUUAUAUAAAUUAAUGUAACAUAGGUAAAACUGUAGCCUAAGAAUUGCAUGCACUUUGGGAAUUUGAAAGGUAGUUGCUGUUAGGGUAAAGUAUAAGAACUACCUCUACAGGAAAGAGGAAACAGAAGUUUAUGUGUAUCAUGGUGGAUUUUUGCCUACAAGAUUACAAAGGAAAUGUAAAGGGCCAGGACUGCUGGUGUACUCUCCAGCAUUGAGUGCACUGUGAGGCACAGGCAGGUGUCCAGUGAACAUCAGAUGAGUGGAUCAUAGAUGGGGUGGAAAGAGGAGUGGAUAGAUGGAUGGAUGAAUAGAUGGGUGGAUAGAUGGAUGGAUGGAUGAAUGGGUAGAUGGAUGUAAGGUAAAUAGAUGCAGUAUAGAUGGGUGGAUGGAUGGAUGGAUAGAGAGAUGGAGUGGAUGGAUGAGUGAUAAAUGGAUAGAUGGAUGGGUGGACAAAUGGAAGGCAGAUGAAUGCAAGCUAAAUGGAUCAGAGGAGGCAGAUGGAUAGGUAGAUAGAUGAGGUGGAUGAAUGGGUAGAUGGACAGGUAAGUAGGUGGAUGUGUGGGUAGAUGGAUGAAUAGGCAGAUGGAUGGAUGGAGAGAUGGAAAGGUGAGUCUAUAAGUAUUUACAAGUAUAGAUGGGUAUAUGGGUAAAAUUCAUGUGGGCCUGUAACCCCUUAAAUUCUGAAGAGCAGCUAGUAAGGCAAACUAUCAGUAGCUGAUAGUGUAGAUGGGGUAAACAGAUGAAUGGAUAGAUGGAUGGAUGAAUGUUAUGUGUCCAACCCUUAUUUAACGACAGCCUCACCAUCUAAAGUUUCCCCUCUCAAAGCAACCCACUGGCCAUAACUGCUGGUUUACUCUGCUUGUUUAUUCAAUGGAACUUUAUCCAAUGCUUUUGAAAAGCUGGACAUCAGAAUAUGUAAGAGGACCAUAUCUCUAUUCUGAUGAAACUUUGAACAUGGUUGAAAAAUCAUCUCGUGUAUUAUUCUCAAAAGUUAUUUGUUCUUUUUCUUACAUUUUUUUUAUCUUUUCUGCUUUUCUUUUAGGGACAGUAAUAAUUGUGUGAUGUGCUAAACUUAUGCUUCUUUGCAUCUGGCACUAUUACUUAACUAAUGUUAUUAUUUUUAUCUACACUUUACCCAUGAUCUACAUCACAACAGACAUUUUGCUGGGUGCUUUGUAUACAUGAAGACACUCUCAUUACUAUCAGGGGUCAUUAUCUUUAUACAGAGGUUUUGAAAACUCUGGCUUGAAUAGCUUGCAAACUGAGGUUGUUAAGAACACAGACUGCUUUGUUAAACUUAGUUUCAGAAUGCAGUGGCAUAGCUGAUGUGUAGAAGAUACCUACCCACUUGUCAUUCUGCUCUGGGGCCCCACAUGGUGGUCAUGAGAGGCUUUUUUUUAGAAGAUUAAAGGUGCAAUGCAGGCUCUAACCAAGGACCAUUCAUGACUCCCAGGUUUGCUCUUUAAUUUAUAAUCUUCUGCCUAUGCUGCGGUACCUGCUGCUGGUUCCUGGUUAUACUCAAAGCCUCAUGUGGUCACAGCUGACAGUUUUUAGAGGUGGAUGAUCUAGAGUGUGUGGCAUGGGAUCAAGAGUGUGUGAUGACUGAAUCAGUUCCCUGAUUGGUUUGGUGUUAUUCUGGCAAUGGAUAAUGGGAAGCUCACCUGCGUGUGAGUACUACCUGCUCUUAGGAUAGAAUAUCAGGGAUGCAAAGAGGACUACUGCUGCUCGCUUUCAACUUGGGACUUCACUGCUUUGCUGUCUUCUGUUUGCUGUGGGCUGUCUCUGCUCUGAGGCGCCCUUCUGCACCACCCUGACUUGAGCCAGCCAAAGGCGAUGGACUGAAACCUCCACAAACUGAGAGCUGAAUCAACCUUUCCCCCCCAACCUUGGGUGUGGGAUAUUUUGCCUCAGCGAUGAGAAGAGUAAUAAACAUUUUCACACCUCUAUCCCCUCAUAGCUACCUCAAGGACAGAGAGGUGGUGUGGCUACCUUUCCCUUGACUGCUGCCACCCACCUGAGACUCAGGCCUCCUUGAUGUUGCACCCGGGCCCCUGGGGGGACAUACAGCGCAGAGAACACAGGACUUAUGACUGCAGGAGCUGGUCAGGAACUUAAGUCCCUCACCAGCUGUUUGGGAACAUUGAGUCACUGCCCGGGGUCUCCGGCUUCUCAGAAAGACAGAAAUGUUGCCCUGGGGAGAUCAUUGCAACCACCACGUAAAAUAACACAACAGAGGUUGCUUUGCGAAUUUUAGGAAGGAAAAAUAAGAUGUCACUUGAGUGUAC